RNAcentral lists this ribosomal RNA (163 nucleotides) under Dalechampia magnistipulata. RNAcentral describes it as "5.8S ribosomal RNA". It matches the Rfam family "5.8S ribosomal RNA". From Rfam's summary of the family: 5.8S ribosomal RNA (5.8S rRNA) is a component of the large subunit of the eukaryotic ribosome. Lineage: Eukaryota; Viridiplantae; Streptophyta; Magnoliopsida; Malpighiales; Euphorbiaceae. The record is from RNAcentral.
UAACGACUCUCGGCAACGGAUAUCUCGGCUCUCGCAUCGAUGAAGAACGCAACAAAAUGCGAUACUUGGUGUGAAUUGCAGAAUCCCGUGAAUCAUCGAGUUUUUGAACGCAAGUUGCGCCCGAAGCCUUUCGGCCGAGGGCACGUCUGCCUGGGUGUCACGC